AUAGUUACUUGGGACAACAGUUUUAGCAGGGCUCUCUUUCUCCUUUCCUGAUCUCUCUGUUAAGCUGCCUGGCUCAUUUGAUAUCACAUCCAAAUUAUCAGCUGAUUGCUCUAUUGUUUUGGACAAUGCCCUGAAGCAUACCAAAAUGUGUCUGGAAUUGGUGGGUUCUUGGUCUUACUGACUUUAAGAAUGAAGUUGCGGACUUUUGCGAUGUGUGAACCUCCAGAACUGUGAAAUAAACAACCUCAGUCAACAUCAAGCAGAAUUCAAAGAAGUCUAAAGUCUUAAUAAUUGUCUGUUCAGUCUGGGAGGAAAGGACUAAAAUGGCAUGAAUCCAGGUGAUCCACCCUACCACAUAUUGUCUCCUAAUGGCCGUCCAGUUUAUCCUGGAGCCCUUGCAUGACACAGGCCUAUCGAAGCAUAGGAGAUGCCAAUAUUUUACCUCUUGGGUACUUUCUGUGUAGAAGAUUCAUAACAAGAACAAUACUUAUUCUGCAAUUCUUUAUAUAAAGACUUAAUUCUGUGACCUGCGUUUGAUCCAGCCAUGUGGACUAUCACAAUCAAUAUUUUCCAGACUCUGCUCCAGACAAUGAGUAUAGCAUCUCCAUCAUCCCUCGAACUACCACUAUUUUGGGGAGCUCCUAAGAGAUGUCUCAUUAAGAAGAAAGCCCAAAGACAAAACCAGAGGCAACUGGCUGCUGCAUCGCCCACCUAGUGGCAGUAGUGUGAGCUAUGGACAAAAGAUCUAAGUCUCCAGGACAAAGAGUUGUGCAGCUGCUCAUUUUCCUGUUGACUUCUGUCUAAGACUUGGAGAUGUUUGUAAGAUUGGGACCUACCUACAGAGGUAUCACACUCCUCUUGGUCUAACUCACUCUUGAACUGACAUUCGUGGUGAAUUUCUUUUGUCACUUAGCAUAUUAGAAGAGAUGUUUUACUAUAAUUCUCACAAUCAAUCCAUAAGCAAGUGGUUAAAGGCCUUUUUGUACUUAGUUAUCUCAGCACUGUCAGGGAUGGCUAAAGAGAAUAAGCAUGGCCUCUGCUUUCCAUUUUUUAACAUAUGACAACUAAAAUACAAAAAAACACAAGUUAUGACAAACAUAUAAUGCUUCCUCUAGACAAGCAUUGCAGCUUGGCAUUGCACUAAGUGUUUUGAUACUAAUCCAUUAAAUUCUCCCACCACCCAACAACGUAGAAUAUAUCAGAGAGUGAAGCAUGGAGAAUUUAUAUAAUUUGCUCAAGGCUACAAAGCUAAUAAAUGUGGAGCCAGGAUUCAAAUGUAGGCAUUCUGAUUCCCUAGUCUAUGCUCUUACCCAGCAUGUUAUGCUGAUGCUCAAAACAGUUGAGUGUUAUAUUAAUUUAAAUAAAAAAGAUAAAUUAGAGCUAGAGAGUGUGUAAUAGGCUCCAUGGAGAAAGUCAAAUGGACUUGGAACUUGGCAACUGAAGAGACCAUGGCCAGACAAAUGGCAAGAAAUUCUGGCAAGAAGAACAAUAGGCAUGGAGUGUCCGCAGCAGAGGAAAGAAGCCAAUCUCACUACAGUGGACGGAAACAAGGAGAAAUUAAAUGAGAUCAUUAGAAUGGAAAAGAUUGUAGAAAUCCAGAUAAUUUAUAGUGAAAAUUGAAUUUCUAAGAGGGUGAAGUUAAAAUUGGGUUAAUAGACACUAUCUCAAAAAUGUAAUCUGUUACAUUACAACAGAAACAAAGCUUCUCAUGACAUGCAGAGAUCCAUAAAUGACUGUUUUACUUUUGGCAAAAUUGAAAAGAGAAUAAUAGUGACUGCAGGGUCAAGAUUAAUGCAUGCUGAUUUUUAGGUAACAUGGGAGAAUUAAAGAGCCAGAGUUUCACUACUGGCCACCAACAGUCCAUUUUAAUGUGUACUCAGUCUUUGUGACCUCUGUCCAUUAGAGAUAUAUCAAACUUGUAUUUAAACUGAAAUGUGAUUAGAGCCAUGAGGCCUGCCUGGAGGUAAAGCAGGUUGAGAAAAAUUUCCUCAAUGACACAUUCUCUAUGGAAAGUCUUUCUCAAAGGAAAAGAAAUUGUGUCCUACUGGCAAAAAGCAGAAAAGGAAGUGGGGAGGGGAAAUGGAAAAACAUCUAAACCAUCUCUGGGGAAAAGGUGAUACUAAAUAUAAACUGGCCAUCAACAUAGUGAAGCUGAAGAAGGCAAGGGGUGUCUAAAUGUAUCAUCAGAAAAGUUAAGAAACAGGGCAAAGUAGGCUAGCUUAGGAACAUCAACAGAAUAUUGGAAGAAGAACAGGGGGCAAUUUUAUAACCUCUCAAUCAUUUCCAACUUCUUACAGUGCUCCAGAAAAGAAAAAGUGUCCUUGAUAAGAAUGAUUUAUUGAACAAUUAUCUCUUUCCGCCCUCAGCUCUCUGGAACUGGACAACAGACAGAUCUGGUGAAUUAUAAUUAUGGAGUUCUCCAGAAGAACUUCCUCUCAAGGAUGCACAAUUUUCCAGUUAGUCACAAGGCAGCAUCACAAGCAAAAUGGGGCUCUCUCUUUAUUUAACAAGGCCUAUCUUCUACACACAGUUUCUGCAAUUUCCGCUUCUCCUUAUGUGUAUCUUUCUCUGCCCUUUUGUAUGUUCCACUUAUGUAGGAUUGUUUGCCCCACAGUCACACACAAUACAAUCAUCAUGCUAACCCCCUCCCCAAAAACUCCCUACUCCCUUUUCAUCUCUCCCAUUGCUCCUCCACACUGGUCCUGCGCUGGCCUGUUUGCUCCCUGAGUAAAUUAGAUCCCUGCAUGUGCUGCUCAUCUUCCCUCCCUCCACCUUCCACCAUACUCUCUUCAUGUCCACAUCUGCCUCUUGGCAAAUGCCCUGUGGAAGAGAGAUUUUUCCCAGGCUCUCCUCCCUUGUAGGUCUCUUUGUGCCUCCGCAUCCUGAGUUUCCUCUGACUCUUGUUUCUUUCUGCUUCUUGUGACAGCUAUGGUUACAGCUAACAAGCAUGGGAGGAAGGAUCUGAGGGAAAGUUGUGCUUUUGGUUCACUAAAUCCUUAGAUUUGAUUUGGGUAGUCAGAAAGUGCUAAAAAGUUUGUUUCAAUGGAACAUCCUGCAGUCCCAAAUGGGGUAAACUUAUCUUGUUUUUCAUCUGCUGUCAUGGUUAACUGGCAACUUCCAGGUACAAGGUGACUGUCUGGCAUCUCAGGUGCACACAUGAAGGCAAUUUCAGAAAGAAUGCCUAUGGAUUACAGACCAUUCAGCUGAGUUUUAUCUGGGGCUUUCUGGCACGGAAUAUGUACCAGCAUCUUAGAUCAAUUCUGGCACAUUAUUUUAAAAGUUUUUUGUUCCUGAGUUCCUUGGUACCUGAUCAUUCCAAUAUUUUCUGCCUUACAAAGUCACAGGAAAACAGGUUUGGAGCUGAGUAUUUUCAAUCACCACUGACUUGGUGACAGACACUAAACUCAUUUCACUUAGGAUUAUAGGUUGAACUCAAAUUGGGAUCCCUGAAGAGAAAGACCAGUCCUUUAUCCAGUACCUUAAGGAAAACAUUUCUUAUUUCCAUUAACAACCAGAAAAGGAAAGACAGUGCAACAGCUGGAAGAGCACUGCAAAUAUCAGGGUUACAAAGAGUAACCCAGAAACCUUUAAAAUAAUUUAAAGUGGUGAUAAAACCAGUAACACACUGCACUUCUAUUAAUGCAGUAAUCCUUAACCCUUGAACCUAACUUGUACUUACACUAAGAAGUCAGAAGAACUGUUUUUACUUGAUCUACCAAGGCAAUUUCCCAUAGUUUGAUUGGAAAUAGUGCUGAUGAUUUUCUCAUUUAAGUUAUCUACAAAGCACUAAAAAAAAGUGACUCUGCUGGAAUUAUCCUUCUAAGAAAAUAAGAAAAAAAUAGAAAUUUCUUACAACUAAGAAAUGGAUCAAGAUAACAUUGGUCUGUGAGAUUUAAAUCUAUCAAAAUAUGUGAGCAUACCACAGAUAUGAUUUCUUCAGUUCUCUGCAAGGUAACCAAAGCAAUUCCAAGAAGUCUUAUUUUAUUAGAACUCAAAUUUAUUAAGUAUGACCUAUCUAAGAUCAUAGUGGGCAGACAACUACCUUGGACGUGGGGUUAAGAGAAGAUAAAAUUCAAAAGUUUGAAAGUAAGUAAAGGAUAAGCAAGAUUCUUUGAAUGAUCAACAGCACUCCACAGGCACACAGAGACACAAAAACAGCUAAAAAGGCAAGGACAAAAUUAAACAGUAAUGAUGAUUUAUAGUAAGAUACUCUGAGACAUGAUAGAAGUCUCAGUACACCAAAAGGAAAAUCUUGUUUGCUCAAAUUAUUUGUUUCUUCUGUCUAAUGAAUGUAAUUCUAAUAUACAAGUGAUAACACUGGCAUUUCUUUGAAAUGUUGAUUCAGUUUAAUUAUGAAAAUCACCAAGGUAUUUUCUAGCUGCUGCAUCACUCCCUGUACUAAGAUUAAUCACAUCAACAUCAUUCAUUUAAUCUUCAAAGAGGAAGCAGUUGUCCACAAAAGCCUUCAAAUAGCUUCAUUAGUGCAAUUUUUCAGUCUCAAACACUUAGCUAGCAGCAUAUGAUUGAGAGUAAGGUCAUUAUAUUCAUCUAUUUCCUAAUCUAAUUUUUGUAAUGUUUCUACAUUUAAUGUAGGAAUGUGUAAGUGUGGAGUUUUUGCCUUCUCUUUGUUUGUAAAACAGCUCAAAACAUGAAGAAAAUAAUGAUUCUAAUUAUAAAAUAUUUGAUUGCUAUGGUUUUAAGUCAUGAAAUUUAAUGUACAGGCCCAUGGCCAGUUCAUUUUUUCUUUUUUCUUUUUUUAAUGUGAAAAGAAUUUAGUGUAGAAAUGCUCUAUUUUCUUGUCUCUUGUAGACAAAGAAAAACUUAGCGCAUGAGAGACGUGUCUGACUUCAGAAACUGGAAUUACAAAAGUCACUGCAAAUAAAAUUUCUUUGGUGUUUUAAAAUGCAAGAUGAAUUCUAUAUUUAAAAACAGAAGCCUCACUUAUGUUUCUCUAAUAAGACCCAUUCUUAACAUCCUUUUCUUUGAUGAAAGCAUUAAUAUUCCCUUUCCUUAUUGGAAACCAACAGGUAUCAGAGUCCCACAAAAUAACACUGUAUUGUUGAUGCACCGAUCAAAUCAUUCUUUUAAUCAUUAAAAAUUAUGCAGUUGCAAUCAAAAACAUUCUCAGAGAGACUUAGAGCAGAGCCUGGCACCAGCAGGGUGUGGUGAUAUAGUCAUUUGUAAUUACUGUACCUACUCUGAAGGGUUAUAAAAUGUGUCAGAAAGUAAAAUUUGCUGAGCCCCAUUACCAAGAAGCAAAACUUACUAACUGGUGCUUUAAACUUUGCAUCUUAUAAAGGAAUGAUUUAUUUGACUUUUGACUGGUCCACUUGCAGAAAUCAUUACAUUGCAAUAUUCAGUGACUGUGCAAAGGGGAAAAAAAGGAUAAAUCAUACAGAGACAUUCUCAAGUUAACAUCUGGCGAGCAUAUAAGGCCAAAUCUGUAAGGCAAGAUCUGCCUACGAUGGCAUAAAUAAUGGUGUGUAUUUGCAGUUUAGGCCAAGGGAUAAGGGCUUUUGAUCAUAAAAAUAGUUCAUAACCAAUUGCAAUGAGAUGAUGCAAUUGUAAAAAUUUUGUUUCCACAAACUGUAUAAAGACAAUUAUGAUAUUUUAAAUAUUAACCCCUUUUAAAUUGUUUUCAAAUAAAAUUAUAACGGCUUUUUGUAAAACCAAAUUCUAAUUGACCCAAUCAAAUUUUAAGAUAAAUUAUGAAGGUGAGAAUAACACCAGCUUGAAAAUAUCAGUUUGCCAUUUGUCCAGCUACAUGCAAAGUCACCAGAAUAAAAUGGAAUUAUAUGAAAGAGGAGCAAUAAACUGCAUUAUUUACAUGUGUUCAAUAUUAUAAUCAGAGGUAAAAAGUGUGUUUUUAAAUAUUUGUACACACAAAGUUUUAUUAUCUACUUUACAUAAUACUGUGUUAGACACACUGGGAAAUGCAAAGAUAGAAAAGAUAAACUAUCUUCUCCUGAGAAGCCUUUACUAUGGUAGAAAAGAUAGGAGCACAUGUCAUUACAAUAAGAGGAAAUGUGAGAUAAGUGACCAAAGAGGAUUUUUGUCUUAAAAAAUCCUAAGUUUUUAUCUAAGAGUUUACAAGUAGAUUCUUCUGAGCCAGAACACCAUGGAAGGUUUCCUGGCAUGAUGACAUAUGAGAUUCAAGGAAUGGGUAUUAUGUUCAAAGCUCAAGACUGGGGAGAGAAGAUUACAUUUUACAGUUUAAAAUAUUUUAUUUACCUUUCCCAACACUUAUGCAUUUGUAUCUUCUGCAGCGAAUGAUAAAAUUU
Molecule: long non-coding RNA, 6281 nt
Filed under: Homo sapiens (human)
Lineage: Eukaryota; Metazoa; Chordata; Mammalia; Primates; Hominidae
Description: HSALNT0374211
Source: RNAcentral